UGCAUGAUGUCAGUGUCUUUGUAUCGCUCUAUCGUUUCUUUUUCCUCAACUUUUUGAAGGCUCCCUGUUGCAAGUUUCACUCCGAUAGUGGGCCCUUUAUUUUUUUUAUACACUAUGUCUUCUCGACCAGACAGGUAUAUCGAGUUGACCACAAAAUUUUUUUUUUUCUCUUUUCAGAGGCUGCCUUGCAAGGAGUAGCUGCGAACCGUCUGCAAACUUCGGACUGCGUACUGGUCAACGCCGAGCUUAGUUGUCCAUCAUGCUAGAGCUUCUACACAAGAGCAUUCGCCACACAAACUACAGGUCGCAGUACGUGGCGUACGCGGUCAUUCUUCUCUGCGUCGUGGCCCUGGCGCUGGGCUACGUUUUCACUACAACAGAACGACCCAUCAUGACGACAACGGCCAACAAAAAGACCAGAACAGCACAGCUUGAAACUACCACGACGGCGACAGCCCGGCCUCCUCACAU
Long non-coding RNA from Dermacentor andersoni, 471 nucleotides. RefSeq lists it as uncharacterized. NCBI's taxonomy places the organism in Eukaryota, Metazoa, Arthropoda, Arachnida, Ixodida, Ixodidae. The record is from RefSeq and is a predicted model, not a curated record.